This 208-nucleotide unclassified non-coding RNA is filed under the name Hevea brasiliensis (rubber tree). Lineage: Eukaryota; Viridiplantae; Streptophyta; Magnoliopsida; Malpighiales; Euphorbiaceae. The record is from RNAcentral.
AUUUAGGCUGCCUCAGUAGUCCUGGACAAAGAAAAGUCUUCCAAUUCUUUAGAUUGAUGUACAACAAAUUAGCAAUCAAUAUUAGGUCACAACAACUGUAGAAGAGGCUAUAGUAAUAUGAAGGAGGAAAAAAGUAGAAAAUGUUUUAAAAGCUUGUAUAAUAAUGACAACAUUACACAUUUCUAAAGAUUUAACCCAAAAUCGUUUA